GCCGGAGAAACAAGCGAUGGUCCAGUAUCUGCCCCAGUAAGCAUCGGCUAAGACAGCACCAAUGAGCGGGGUGAGAUAACAAGUCCCCUGCCAUGUGGUGACGUUUCUAGCAGCGGAAACGUUUCCUUGGUGGAGUUUAGUGGUGAGGUAAGUGAUAAGAUUCCCAGCAAUACCAUAGUAAGCUAGCCUCUCGCAGCAUUCAUUACCUACACAUUAAAAACAUCAUCCUCAUAAGGUUAAGAUACAUAAGGAAUAGGAUUGAAAUGAAACGAAAUGUACCUAAAAUGAAAGGACAAGCUUUCCAGUUGCCUGUCUUCUCCUUGAGUGGUGGGUUUCCAUGAAGGUCCACUGAACCAUCUUGAGCAUACAGUUUUGGUUCCUGGUCAAACAAAAGUCAAGAUUACAUCUUUUAGCCAAAGACCAUUGCCAGUGAACAAUAAUAGCAUCAAAAUAGUUUUAACUACAACAUAAUCUGAUCUGCACUGGCAAAGUUUAUACAUUUGGAAUCAUAAUCACCCUCAAGGGUUAUAAAUAAAUACAUGGAAGGGAAUCAACAGCAAUUACCCAGAAAAAUCUCUCAACAAACAAACAUGCAUAAGAUCAUCAAACUCAAGCUCAAGUCAAGAUUUUUGGAGAAAUGAAAACCCUAAGAGAGAGAGAAAAAUCAAAAUCCAGAUUAACCUAAAUUCAAGCGAUUAGAAACAACAUCUAAGAGCGAAAUUGAUGAUCAAACCUGCGAGAUUAAACCUUCUUCGAUGAGAGGUGAUUCUUCUUCAAUGGAGCCCAUCCUUCUCGCUUCGAUUUAAGAUUCCAUCUUUACUCUUUAUUUAUUUGGAAGACGUGACGUGACGUGAUUGUUUUCUAUUUUAAUUUUCCCCGCGACUUUUUUUAAUUAGUUGUGAAAAUAUUAAAUAAAACGGAUAAUAUAAGAAACAAUUAGAAGCGAACUAAUAUAAUAAGCAAAGUACAACGACAAUCUGAUCUUUUGCGAUAACGAUUUCUCUGCUUCUUGACGACGUAAAGAUAAGACUUGUGGGUCGACUUGUCCAUUUUUUUCAACUUGUAUUACUCUAACCAAGAAACGAUAUAUGUUUAUUUGUUGCUCUGUUUUCAAGUUUUUUUUUAUUUUUUCCAACUUGUAUUUACCCUAACCAAGAAACGAUAUAUGUAUGUAUUUUAUUUGUUUCUCUGUUUUCAAGUUUUUUUUCGUUGCUAUGUCUCUCUCUCAGUCUCUCUUGAAUUAGGACCUGACUGGUUCAAACGCAGCGGUUGCGGUUGCGGUUGCGGGAGUUUGUGGAUGCGGACGGUUACGGUUUUUAGCGAUUUUAAGAGAUUUGUACGACUGGUACUGCGGUUAAAAAUUGGUGCGUUUGCGGGUGACUUAUGACUGGUUAACUACCAAAUGCGGUAACAAUCAAAUAAUAAAUUAACAAUAUUUACAUUUAAUAUAAUUAUAAAAAUAUCAAAAAUCAUAAAAUUAUAAUAAAUAUAAAAUUUAUAUUUAGAAAGUAAAGAAGACUCUUUCCUCAAAACUGAAUCCAAUAUUAGUCAAAUGUUCAAAUCUAAACACCAACCAAUCUCAUUCAAUUCGGAACCAAACCUAAACCGAAAAAUGGAACCACGAAUAUCUAAUUCAAUCAAAUCACCAAGAAGACCCGAUGAACCGGAGACUAAGACACACAUUAGUGCGUUCUGUGAUUCUUCAUAAGGAUUUAGCAAGUAACACGAAGUGACUGUAGCCUAUCUGUGACACAAUUUACAAGCUCACACAAUAACCAAGCUUAAGGCUUUCAAAGCCUACAAGUAAGAGAACAUAAAUCAAACAUAAUAUAUAUAGUCUAGCAAAUUUGAGCUGCGUCCUGUUAAUCAGCGAAUCUCUUCUUCCGGCUUAGUAAAAAAGCAGAAGAACAGAGCUAAGUGUUCAUUGCCUGCUGUAAUCACAAAGAUUCCUAAGGAUUUAUAACUAACAACCCCAAAGUAACUGUAGCCAUAAUAUCUAAGACACAAUUUACAAGCUCACACACUGAUAGUGUUAAUUACUUCCUACUUAAAGACUAAUGUAUUAAGCUUUUGAGUGUAACAGGAAACAAGACUAACACAACCUGCAGAGAGUCGAGUUAACGAUGGAACUAGGCUUAUCCAAACUUGAGAUAGCUUACAAGAACAAUCAAAUGCAAAGACGAACACAUUUCUCAAGCAUGAUUGAUCCAAAAAAGGCUUAUGCUUGUGGUGUAAAAGAAGACUCUUUCCUCAAAACUGAAUCCAAUAUUAGUCAAAUGUUCAAAUCUAAACACCAAACAAUCUCAUUCAAUUCGCAACCAAACCUAAACCGAAAAAUAGAACCGCGAAUAUCUAAUUCAAUCAAAUGGAACCGGAGACUAACCGGGAAGCUGGAAGAUCGAACCGAGGAGGGGCUACGCAUUAGCGGUCUUAGGGAUAAGAGGAACACCGUUCCCUUGUAGCUUACUCUGUUUAGCCUUGGCUUCUUCCUCGCGGAUCUUCUGCAUCGCGAGCAUCCUCUCCAUCACGAGCUCGUACUCGCACUUCUCGUACACGUGGCGCUCGUCCUCGCACUUCCACGGGAGGAAGAACUCAGCCUGGCGACAUUUGUUGAGCGGCAUCAGGAGAUGAGCGCACUGAUCUCUGUAUCCGAGCGGUACUUUGGCUGCCACCAUCUCUUCCUGCGUUGCGAUCAUCUUCUUCGAUGAACCUGGAACCUCCAUUUUCCUCUCGCGAUCCCUAACCUCUCUCCUUCUUUCUCUUUGGCGACUCCGAUUUGCUUGACCCGGACAUACUCAGGUUUUUUUUGUUCCGGGUCAUAGUUUAAAUGGGCUCAAUUGGUAUACUAAGCCCAAGUUUUAUUCAAUGGUCUUUUACAUUUUUUCGACAACAUUUUAAGUUAUAUACAAAAGAUGAACGAACCACUGAUGGUGGAUUCUGAGAACUGGUCUUUACUUAGCCAAAAAAAAAAAUCAUAAACUUUUAGUUUGAUUUAUUUUAGCAUUCAAUUGUUAAUUUUUUUUUAUUUUGAUCUUGUUUUUACUAAAUUGUUUUAGAUAUACAAAAAUCAACUGUUAAAUCGAUUUUAGCAGUUAAUUUUUCACUUAUCUAAAACGAUUUAGUUUUAAAAAAAAGAUUAAAUAAACGAUUUAAAAGGUUAAAAGUGACAAUGUCUCAAGUGAAAACUUCGCAUUUUUUCUUUUUUAAAUUUCAGUAUCUGGUGGUUUUCUCAAACAACAUACUUUUCGUUUUUUUUUCUUAAUAUAUAUUUCAUAUAACAUGCAUAACUUGUAAUCUUGUGUACAUAUACUAAUUUAACACUACAAAAUUUAGAGAGUUAUCGACUUGUUGGUUAAAAGAUUGUAAUUGAUUUAACACUGCAAAAGCAAAUGUGAGAAGACUGUUUGGAACUGAAAGAAACGAGUACACAAACAGUUGUUCUUUUAAACAAACACAAUUUACACAAGAAAAGAAACAAACUUUGUAUGUAAUGGAAGGAGAGAGAGAGAAAGAGAACAACCACAUUAUAACUUGGACGCCUUCUUCUGCUUAUACCUAGCGGCAGAGAAGAAGUAAACCGCCAUGUUCACAAGGCUAAGCCCAGCCAAAAGCCAGAAGUAGUAAUCAAGAUGACCCGAGUUCAGAUUAUCCGAUAUCCAACCUUGUUCACCGUUCCUCGUCGUGAAAUAAGUCACCAGCGUGAGGAUCAACGAACUCAAGUAGUUCCCAAGAGCAUUAGUCAAAAGAGCCAAAGCACUGCACAAGCUCCUCAUUGCAUCUGGAGACUGAUCAUAGAAAAACUCAAGCUGUCCUAUGAAGUAGAACACUUCCGCCGCACCGAGGAUGAAGUACUGUGGGAUCUGCCAUAACACCGAUAUGGGGACAGGAGCUCCAGACUCAACCAACCCGAGCUCGUUGGCUAAAUGGAGCCUGAUGAUCUCGACAAUCGCUGCAGCUGCCAUACAGAGAACAGAGACGAACAGACCAACCCCCAUUCUCUGUAUCUCAGUGAAUCCUUUGUCUACUCCAGUGAACCGUCUAGCUAAAGGGACGAUGAACCUGUCGUAGAGAGGAACCCAGAUGAUGACGCUAGCUGUGUCAAACGUCCCGAGCGCUGCAGGAGGAAGCUGGAAAGAUCCUAUUUUGCAGUCCAUGGCUCGGCCUUGUUGAACAAACAUUGUUGACAUUUGUGCGUAUACAGCUGAGAAAAUGAUACCUGAAGCCCAUAUUGGGAACAUUCGUAUCAGAAUCUUGAGUUCUUCGACUUGAGUAACUGUGCAUAGUCUCCACGAGUUGGAGAAGUCUCCGGUUUUGGAUUCUUCUUCUGAGAUAACAGCAGCUUUGUCAAGAUACCUGCAUCAAUAGAGACCCCAUGUUAAACAAAGCAAAGCUAUAUAUAUACUCGUUAGGAUAAUAGAUGUUUUAGAAAAAAAUUUGAUUCACAAAAAUAGAUUUUUUGUGUUUUCUAUGAAAAUGUUGUAAAUUUUUUAAAAAAUUAAUUAAUUUAUUGGUUAAAACUUAUUGAAAAUUGAUAAUAACAAAAAAAAAAUUAUAUAUUUAUUAUAGUGAUUUAAUGUGUUUUCUUAGUAACCCCAAGACCCUUGUCUUAGCUAUCCCUGGAACAAGGGACCUCUAACACAAUGGCAUGGCUCCUUUCAGUUGAGCUAGUAAAGCAAAGCUAUUCAUUCCCAGGAAGAAGAUGAAACUUACUGGCAAUCAUCGGUAUGUUCGAUUUUUCGACUUCCAGCAAUAGCAGAGUUCUUGUCCUGCGUUUCAUACAGAAGCAUUGCGUCUUCAGGGACUGUGAGAGUCGAUUUACGGAACGAGGCCACCACCACUUGGGAGAUCCGAGUGAUAGGGCUGCCUCCAGGCUUCUGAAACCUGUAAAGAGGCGUGCCAAAGAAGAAACUUGCAAUGGCGAGUCCCAUGAAGACGGUUGGUAUACCAAAACCUAAACCCCAGCCGCGGUUCUCUUGGAUCCAGACAAGAAGACUAGAAGAGACUAGCGCUCCAAUGUUGAUGGAGAAGUAGAACCAGUUGAAGAAGGAAGCUUUCUUAACUCGUUCGCGAGAGUCCGUGUCAUCGAACUGGUCUGCACCGAAGGAUGAGACGCAUGGUUUGAUGCCUCCAGUGCCGAGGGCGAUCAGGUAAAGCCCACCAAAGAACAUUGCGUACUGUGCUGGUGUUGCUGAUGGACAGAAAGUGCCAAUGCAUUCCGCUGGCUUUAGUGCCGGAACUGACGCUGAGAGAGUUAGCGCAGACAUGCCCUAAACAAAAAACAGAGCAAAGAAAACCAAAACUCAAACUUCAAAUCAAUUGUGUGAUAAGACACAACCAUUGAAAAGGUGCUUACGAUGAAGUAAAUGCCGGAGAAACAAGCGAUGGUCCAGUAUCUGCCCCAGUAAGCAUCGGCUAAGACAGCACCAAUGAGCGGGGUGAGAUAACAAGUCCCCUGCCAUGUGGUGACGUUUCUAGCAGCGGAAACGUUUCCUUGGUGGAGUUUAGUGGUGAGGUAAGUGAUAAGAUUCCCAGCAAUACCAUAGUAAGCUAGCCUCUCGCAGCAUUCAUUACCUACACAUUAAAAAC
This 5586-nucleotide long non-coding RNA is filed under the name Brassica napus (rape). RNAcentral describes it as "long non-coding RNA (BNAP_LNC005607)". Lineage: Eukaryota; Viridiplantae; Streptophyta; Magnoliopsida; Brassicales; Brassicaceae. The record is from RNAcentral.